GACGAACGCUGGCGGCGUGCCUAAUACAUGCAAGUAGAACGCUGAAGAGAGGAGCUUGCUCUUCUUGGAUGAGUUGCGAACGGGUGAGUAACGCGUAGGUAACCUGCCUUGUAGCGGGGGAUAACUAUUGGAAACGAUAGCUAAUACCGCAUAACAAUGGAUGACACAUGUCAUUUAUUUGAAAGGGGCAAUUGCUCCACUACAAGAUGGACCUGCGUUGUAUUAGCUAGUAGGUGAGGUAAUGGCUCACCUAGGCGACGAUACAUAGCCGACCUGAGAGGGUGAUCGGACACACUGGGACUGAGACACGGCCCAGACUCCUACGGGAGGCAGCAGUAGGGAAUCUUCGGCAAUGGGGGCAACCCUGACCGAGCAACGCCGCGUGAGUGAAGAAGGUUUUCGGAUCGUAAAGCUCUGUUGUAAGUCAAGAACGGGUGUGAGAGUGGAAAGUUCACACUGUGACGGUAGCUUACCAGAAAGGGACGGCUAACUACGUG
RNAcentral lists this ribosomal RNA (497 nucleotides) under uncultured bacterium. RNAcentral's name for it is "partial 16S ribosomal RNA". It matches the Rfam family "Bacterial small subunit ribosomal RNA", at positions 28 to 507 of the family's 1533-position model. The record is from RNAcentral.